RNAcentral lists this long non-coding RNA (668 nucleotides) under Polistes fuscatus (common paper wasp). RNAcentral describes it as "uncharacterized LOC122521436, transcript variant X2". Lineage: Eukaryota; Metazoa; Arthropoda; Insecta; Hymenoptera; Vespidae. The record is from RNAcentral.
CUUCGACGAAGCGUCUCCAUCUUCGCACUCGCUUCAUCUAUUCUCGCAGUGCAAAGUUAUCGCUUUGCUUCCAUUUCUAGAAGAAAAGGCGAUAAAAGGAAAUAGCUAAGAAGGCGAGGUGAGGCGAGGCGGGGCGAGGCGAGGCAAGGAGGGAGAAAUGGCUGCACAGCAGGUCGGUCAUAGACUGCUUUUUCUAAAGAGUAUGAGAAGCUGGAAUAACCGACCCGAUGAACCGAGGUUCCGGAGGACAGAACGGUACACGAUGCCUUCCUCCUCUUUCUCCUCCAACCUUCACCGAGAGGCCACCGAAGAUGAGGGCCAGCAGGACCUCGGAGUUCCCACUCUUGAAAUUCCUAACUCGCAAUCAGCCAUAAAGACCCUCUCGAGUUCCUCCAAGACGAAGCAAUUCCCCGAGAUGAAGCAGGAGAGAAACGAUGAAACGAAUGGAAGAGGGCACUCCGUUAUCGUUCACCUCUCAUAACGGUUUCUUCGACGGAGGGCGCGAUCCCACAUCGCUUCGUGUCGUCGCUCGGUAAGAAUGGUCCGCCGUUUAUAUCUAACAGUUCGUUGGAGAUUUUGUCACCUGCAACGCAACGACAUUCGAUUACAUAGAAAACAGUUUUAUACACGUAGCACGCAUGAUCGGGAUUAAACAAACUUAUCAUUUA